RNAcentral lists this ribosomal RNA (233 nucleotides) under uncultured bacterium. Its description in RNAcentral is "partial 16S ribosomal RNA". It matches the Rfam family "Bacterial small subunit ribosomal RNA", at positions 100 to 334 of the family's 1533-position model. The record is from RNAcentral.
CGGGACGGGUGAGUAAUGUCUGGGAAACUGCCUGAGUGGAGGGGAUAACUACUGGAAACGGUAGCUAAUACCGCAUAACGUCGCAAGACCAAAGAGGGGGACCUUCGGGCCUCUUGCCAUCGGAUGUGCCCAGAUGGGAUUAGCUAGUAGGUGGGGUAACGGCUCACCUAGGCGACGAUCCCUAGCUGGUCUGAGAGGAUGACCAGCCACACUGGAACUGAGACACGGUCCAG